RNAcentral lists this long non-coding RNA (2409 nucleotides) under Sus scrofa (pig). Its description in RNAcentral is "lncRNA (ENSSSCG00005022215.1)". Lineage: Eukaryota; Metazoa; Chordata; Mammalia; Artiodactyla; Suidae. The record is from RNAcentral.
GAACUGUGAUGUAGGUCACAGCCUCAGCUCAGAUCCCAUGUUGCUGUGGUGUAGGCCGGCAACUACAGCUCCGAUUUGACCCCUAGCCUGGGAACUUCCAUAUGCUGCUGUGGCCCUAAAUGACAAAUAAAUAAAUAAAAUGUUCCGCAGGAUUGCUUAGAACAUAUUACAGACAGGCUGCCAUAUUUAUAAAUACUAUAUGUGAACUCUCAAGUUUGGUACAGUCCUCAUCCUGUGUAUGUCCUUUUGCCAGUUUUAGUACUGCAGGUAUGUUUUACGCAUACACACACCCUAUACUUAGACAUGAAAGGUAGUCAUUUUCCAAAUCACUUGUUUUCAGAGAGGUUAGAAAGAAAUUGAAAAACAUGCCAAUAGUUGCCAUUAUGCUAAGUAAAAAACUAUUGGCUAAUUGUAAGCAAUCAUUAAAGAACAUUAAACACUCAUUUCAUAACUGUUGAUUAUUGAAUGCCUACUAUGUGCUGGUACAUUUCUAAGCGCUUGGUGUAUAUUGUCGCAAAUCCUUAGCACCCCACUUUAAGGACUUGGGGAACCUGAGAUUUAGAGAAAUUGAGUGACAUACCUAGUAAAUGAUGGACUGUGAUUUGCAGCCAGCUUUCUGACUCUAAAGACAGACCUUUUAUCUCAAACUGUACUACUUCCUUAUAGUAAGUGAGAGUAGGUUCAGAGUAGGUCUGACAUCUGCUCUAAAUAGCCCCACUGUCUCUGAGAGCUGGAGGACUGGAAAGUCAAUAUUUUUAAAACAGCAUAGACAUCAUCCUCAUCCAUCAUAUUUAGAUGAUCUACUCCCCAGAGGAGCGGCUGAAAUGAAGGGGCAGAGAAGAGAAUAUGGAAUCAAAGAAAGAAGGGGAAAAGUGGAGUCUGAGGACUCAGGGUGUGUAAAUGUUUCUGUUGAGAUUACUCCUCAGGACAGUUGUCCUACUAUCAACUACACAGUAGAUAAAGAGCUUUCCAGUUCUUCACAUCUUGCGUGUCACUCUUGAAAUGCCAUUCAGUAUUUCACCCCCACGUGGUGAAAUUUGUCAUCAUAUAAGAUAAAUACAGAAUUAGUAUGUCUUUAUGGAAUGGUCUCAUGAGUCUUUCUGGAGACUAAAAGAAAAGUACUCUAGCCAUUCUCCUUAGGACUGAGACGCAUAUCUCAUCAGCCAAGGUCUAACCCCUGUCAGCCAUGCUGUCAAGGUCAGAUAUUUCAUCUCAUCAUCAAUCUUAGAAACCGUUGGCUGUAGAACCAAGUUUAACAAAUGUGUUUAUGACCUAGAAGAGUGUGGAGGGAAUGCUAAUCCUCACCCCAUCCAUCAUCAACUCAUUCUCACCUAAAGCAAGGUAGGUAUUGAAGGUGUCUCUUCAGUAUUUUGUCUUGGAAGGGUUCUGACGCGUCCUCCUACAGCAGUGUGCUUCCAACUUUUUUGCUCUUGUGGUGUCUAAAAGGCUCUGUAAAACCCUGCAUCCUAAGCAUGUUUUUAAGCUAAUUGCUAAAACUUUUCUCCUAAGUUCACAUAGCUGCAAAGAAUGUCAUUUUUCAGCAUAUUGUAAAUGUUGACUUUUUAAAUUGUUACGUCAUUUAAAAACCUCCAGUUGGAUCUAUGUGUUUUUUAAAUGCCCAAAUAAGUUAACAGUUAAAAUGUUUACAUGUUUCCUUUUCCUCCUUAAAUUCGUAUUUCUAUUUCCUUUCCCUGACAAAAUUCUAUCCCAGUGCUAGGGGUUGAAUCGGAGCUGUAGCUGCCAGCCUACGCCAGAGCCACAGCAACGCGGGACCCGAGCCGCGUCUGCGACCUACACCACAGCUCACGGCAACGCCGGAUCGAUAACCCACUGAGCAAGGGCAGGGACCGAACCCGCAACCUCAUGGUUCCUAGUCGGGUUUGUUAACCACUGCGCCACGAUGGGAACUCCAGAGAGAAAGUCUUUUAAAUUAUAACCCAAGAUUUGGUUUGGGAGAGAAAAAUUAGGGAAGGAACUUUUAACUUAAUCCAGAAUCAUUUGUGAGUCUGACCAGAUGAUACUGAGAAGCUUGAAUCUUUUUUUUAGCGCUCAUUGCUGCUUUUAUUGGAUUGAUGAUGGUUUUCUGAGCACCUAUAGUUUUAUAAUUGUUAGCAGGAAAGAAGUGCCUCUUGUGAUGUUAUGUACAAGGUGGGUUAUGAAGAAAGCCAUAGUCUUUUAUAUACCAUAUACUUUCCUCUCAUUAUCACGUAUUCUAGUUGACUCUGUCUAAAAAUUAUGAGAAAAAAAAAUAGAGGACCUUGUGAGGUCAGUGGAUGAUGAUCAGCAUUUAGAACCAUAAGACAAGAUUUGGACACGGCCCCUUGAAUACGCUUGCUUUCCAAGUAUGAUGGCUGUUUUGAAAGUCAUCAGUGAGUAUCCACAUGCCCAGUAAAAAAAAAAAAAAAAAAA